AUUGAACGCUGGCGGCAGGCCUAACACAUGCAAGUCGAGCGGAUGAAGGGAGCUUGCUCCUGGAUUCAGCGGCGGACGGGUGAGUAAUGCCUAGGAAUCUGCCUGGUAGUGGGGGAUAACGUCCGGAAACGGGCGCUAAUACCGCAUACGUCCUGAGGGAGAAAGUGGGGGAUCUUCGGACCUCACGCUAUCAGAUGAGCCUAGGUCGGAUUAGCUAGUUGGUGGGGUAAAGGCCUACCAAGGCGACGAUCCGUAACUGGUCUGAGAGGAUGAUCAGUCACACUGGAACUGAGACACGGUCCAUACUCCUACGGUAGGCAGCAGUGGGGAAUAUUGGGCAAUGGGCGAAAGCCUGAUCCAGCCAUGCCGCGUGUGUGAAGAAGGUCUUCGGAUUGUAAAGCACUUUAAGUUGGGAGGAAGGGCAGUAAGUUAAUACCUUGCUGUUUUGACGUUACCAACAGAAUAAGCACCGGCUAACUUCGUG
Molecule: ribosomal RNA, 484 nt
Filed under: uncultured bacterium
Lineage: Bacteria
Description: partial 16S ribosomal RNA
Rfam family: Bacterial small subunit ribosomal RNA
Source: RNAcentral